UAAGAUACAAAUUGUGACCUAAGAUAAAAAUUCACCACCAUUUGUCACUUGAGCUAGGCCUAGGGGCAAACUGAGGGUCAAAUUAGGGACAUUUCACCUUAAUUUAUAGACAGAUUAGGGUUUCAAUCUUGAUUGGGAUUCUGGCUGCAGAGGCUGCACGUCUCCCGUCCAGUCUCCUGGUAUUCUUCUUUCUGCUCUGCUUCUCCUCUGUUAUAUUUCAGUUCUGAAGUUUUAUUUCUGUUUCUGCCCUAGUGAGGGGUUGUAGUGAGGUUCAACUGCUGAUUUCUUGGUGAAUUUUUAUUGAUCUUAGGAAGCCAGGCUUUGGCUGUGAAUGAGUGAGGGUAUGGUUAUGGCAUAAAGAGCGAUCCUUUUUUUUUUUGGCCCUCACUGUUACCCACUAAAAAUGAUUAUAAUCUUGUAGUAUUAAUUAAUCUGAACAAUGGAUAUAGUGGAAAAUGAUGAAAUAUAGCAGGUACUUAUGAUGGAUCUGUGACCAGAUGUACUCCUGGUGCUGCCAAUUUUGGCUCUGUGCUGAGCUUCUAGGACACAUUUCUGGUUGAUUAUCCCAUCAAAUACUUGCUGAUUCCUUCUCUAUCCUUUGUUUAGACCAGCUUCCAUGUCCUGAUCUACUACAUUAGAUUUUAUCCUUUUGACUCUUUUACUAAAUGGGUUCUUUAGUACUAGCAUGUUUGCUAAGGUCAGACUGUCAAAGAGUCUUCCUUUUUCUUGUCAUUUUCUGUGUGUAUCUGAAGGGGAGCCUAGAUGCAACAAUAAAAGUUGUUGCCUUGAGACUAGGAGGUCAAAGAUUCAAGCCACGAAAACAGCCUCUUGCGGAGAUGUAAGGUAAGGCUGCAUAGUGGGAGCUUAGUGCAUUGAGUUUGUUUUCUUUUUGUUUUGUUUGUUUGUUUUUCUUUUGUCCUUUUCUUCUUUGAAUUGCUGAAUGUCUUUGGAGUCAUAGUGGAGCUGUCUGAAUCAGAUUAUAUGAUUAGGGUUUCUCAGUAAAGCAGUUCAUCAUGAGGAGGAAGGGUUGCAGAUACGAAUGCUGGAAAUAUAUAAACAUUCACCAGAUAUAGAAAAGCAUUUGAAGAAAUUACAGGCAUGACUUGGUUAUUUAACAAACAUCAAGUUGAUUAACUUUUUUGCACUCUUUUGGUAAUGUUCCUUUAACAUUUUGCCCUCAUCGUUAAUAUGAUGAUUAUUAUUUCGUCAUGGAUACAAAGAAAAAUGUGAAUAAAGAUUGUCUUUUGCAAAUCUUAUCAGCCUUUAUGGUCAUGGUGGUGUUGAUUGAUACUAGAAGAUGAUGCCGUUGUGCUUGUAGCCUCAAGAUUUUCGCCUCCCAAUUGGCCUAGUGAACCCUUCUCCACCUUUUCCUUUUUCAUGAUUUCUUCAUCAAUAUGUAUAUCUUCAUCAAUUGUCAGAAUGACAGCUUUUGUUCCAUCUGGACGGGUUACAAUGUCUUCGUGGACCUUCAUAUGUUCAUCCACUUUCACGAUAUCAAUUUCCUGAGAGGUUUUCUUCUUUCUCUUCUUAAGGAAGCAACAUAGAGCAACUGAGAGAAAUGCCAGGAAGAAUAGACCACCAAGCGAGACGAAUAUAAUGAUGAUGGUAUGAGAAUGAUGUCUGGGUGGAGGUGGAGGUGGGAUUGGAACAACGUGCGGUGGAGGUGGAGGAUAGAAGGGACGGGGUGGUGGCUUAAUUGGUGCUGGGGGUGGUAUUGGAUGACUCGGUGGCUUUGCAGCUGGAGGUGGUGGACUAGGAAAAUGAUGUGGUGGUGAUGGUGUAACUGGCGAAUGUGGUGGUGAUGGUGUAACUGGUGGAUGUGGUGGUGCCACUUUUGGUGGUGAUGGUGUAACCGGCGGAUGUGGUGGUGCCACUUUUGGUGGAGAGGGCGUAAUUGGUGGAUGUGGUGGUGCCACUUUUGGAGGUGAAGGAGGUGUAUUAGGUUGGUGGGGUGGUGGUGAUACACUUGGUGGAGGAGGGUGAGGUGUUGCUGGAGGAAAUGGAUAGUUAUGAGGUGGGAAUGGGGGGAAGUAGGGGAAGUUGAAAUUUUGAAUAUUAGCCAUUGCAGUGGAAAUAUUUGCUUGCUAAAAGCUUAUAUUGAGUAAGCUGUCUGUAUGAUGUUUAUUGUUAGUGUUGAGUUGGGGAUAUAUAUUAGGUGUUAGUAUGAUAAUACUUGUAAGGUUCUUGUGACUUGAACCUCAGUCUAAGUUUUGCCCGGUUGUCAUUGGUUGCAUUCCAAAACACUCAUUUCUUCAUUUUUCACGGCGGUCAUGCUAACCACAGUUUCAUACAAUAAUCAUAUCUAUGAUUUGACAACUAAUUGAACCUUCUUUCUCCUCAAUGUUAUAUUAUGCCAUAAAUGGUUCCUGUAUAGAUUCUUGCCUGUUGGAUGAGAGCUCCCAGUCCCAAAACCCAUUGUGCUGCAUCUUCUGAUGUUAGGGAGGCGAACUGUAGUUAAAAUAAUGUUUAGAACUUUCAGCAUGAAGUUCUUAUUUUAAUACUUGGGGUAAUAUAUUAGCGUGUAUUAUGUAUGAAUAGAUUUAACUAGAUGAAAAAUUGUUGAGCUAAACGUUACUAUUUGACUUUAAUGACGUCUCCUCCGUCUCUUUUUUGGUACUAUUGCUUUCUUCAUACAAAAUUAUUUGGCGUGGGUCUGAAUUUAUCUUACCUAAGUAAUUUGAAUUACUGAUUAUUUCUUUGUCUAACAUGAAGUAAAUUUUAUUUUAAUGAAUUUACUUUCAUGUAGAAUGGUGAAGACCUACCUCAAAUUUCCAAUACACAGAAAAAGAAAAAGGACAACAAAGAGAUUCAGUUGCAAGUGGGCCAGAGCUUCCCCAAUACCCCCUAAUCGACCAAACUAUAUGUACACGAGUAUAUGUUUUUUUGAAUGAUAGAGAAUUACGAUUUUGUUUUAUAUUUUCUUUUGUUUCGGUAAGAAAGUGAUAAAGAGAGACGUCUUCCAAAUGCACACUUGAUUCCCCCCCCCCCC
Molecule: long non-coding RNA, 2989 nt
Filed under: Nicotiana tabacum (common tobacco)
Lineage: Eukaryota; Viridiplantae; Streptophyta; Magnoliopsida; Solanales; Solanaceae
Description: long non-coding RNA (NTAB_LNC000024)
Source: RNAcentral